CAAGGCAACGAUGCAUAGCCGACCUGAGAGGGUGAUCGGCCACACUGGAACUGAGACACGGUCCAGACUCCUACGGGAGGCAGCAGUAGGGAAUCUUCCGCAAUGGGCGAAAGCCUGACGGAGCAACGCCGCGUGAGUGAUGAAGGUCUUCGGAUCGUAAAACUCUGUUAUUAGGGAAGAACAUAUGUGUAAGUAACUGUGCACAUCUUGACGGUACCUAAUCAGAAAGCCACGGCUAACUACGUGCCAGCAGCCGCGGUAAUACGUAGGUGGCAAGCGUUAUCCGGAAUUAUUGGGCGUAAAGCGCGCGUAGGCGGUUUUUUAAGUCUGAUGUGAAAGCCCACGGCUCAACCGUGGAGGGUCAUUGGAAACUGGAAAACUUGAGUGCAGAAGAGGAAAGUGGAAUUCCAUGUGUAGCGGUGAAAUGCGCAGAGAUAUGGAGGAACACCAGUGGCGAAGGCGACUUUCUGGUCUGUAACUGACGCUGAUGUGCGAAAGCGUGGGGAUCAAACAGGAUUAGAUACCCUGGUAGUCCACGCCGUAAACGA
This 548-nucleotide ribosomal RNA is filed under the name Staphylococcus aureus. Its description in RNAcentral is "bacterial SSU rRNA". It matches the Rfam family "Bacterial small subunit ribosomal RNA", at positions 269 to 809 of the family's 1533-position model. The record is from RNAcentral. Lineage: Bacteria; Bacillati; Bacillota; Bacilli; Caryophanales; Staphylococcaceae.